Non-coding RNA from Pyronema omphalodes CBS 100304, 81 nucleotides. The record is from Rfam. Lineage: Eukaryota; Fungi; Ascomycota; Pezizomycetes; Pezizales; Pyronemataceae.
GAUUCAGUAGUGUAGGGGUAUCAUGAGCGCUUGCCAUUCAGCAUUCUGCGCUCGACCCGGGUUCGAAUCCCGGCUGAAUCA